GACGAACGCUGGCGGCGCGCCUAACACAUGCAAGUCGAACGAGCGAGCGAGAGCUUGCUUUCUCAAGCGAGUGGCGAACGGGUGAGUAACACGUGAGGAACCUGCCUCAAAGAGGGGGACAACAGUUGGAAACGACUGCUAAUACCGCAUAAGCCCACGACCCGGCAUCGGGUAGAGGGAAAAGGAGCAAUCCGCUUUGAGAUGGCCUCGCGUCCGAUUAGCUAGUUGGUGAGGUAACGGCCCACCAAGGCGACGAUCGGUAGCCGGACUGAGAGGUUGAACGGCCACAUUGGGACUGAGACACGGCCCAGACUCCUACGGGAGGCAGCAGUGGGGAAUAUUGCACAAUGGGGGAAACCCUGAUGCAGCGACGCCGCGUGGAGGAAGAAGGUCUUCGGAUUGUAAACUCCUGUUGUGGAGGAAGAUAAUGACGGUACUCAACAAGGAAGUGACGGCUAACUACGUG
This 466-nucleotide ribosomal RNA is filed under the name uncultured bacterium. RNAcentral describes it as "partial 16S ribosomal RNA". It matches the Rfam family "Bacterial small subunit ribosomal RNA", at positions 28 to 507 of the family's 1533-position model. The record is from RNAcentral.